CUACGGGAGGCACCAGUGGGGAAUAUUGGACAAUGGGCGCAAGCCUGAUCCAGCCAUGCCGCGUGAGUGAUGAAGGCCCUAGGGUUGUAAAGCUCUUUCACCGGUGAAGAUAAUGACGGUAACCGGAGAAGAAGCCCCGGCUAACUUCGUGCCAGCAGCCGCGGUAAUACGAAGGGGGCUAGCGUUGUUCGGAUUUACUGGGCGUAAAGCGCACGUAGGCGGACUAUUAAGUCAGGGGUGAAAUCCCGGGGCUCAACCCCGGAACUGCCUUUGAUACUGGUAGUCUGAGUUCGAGAGAGGUGAGUGGAAUUCCGAGUGUAGAGGUGAAAUUCGUAGAUAUUCGGAGGAACACCAGUGGCGAAGGCGGCUCACUGGCUCGAUACUGACGCUGAGGUGCGAAAGCGUGGGGAGCAAACAGGAUUAGAUACCCCUGUAGUC
Molecule: ribosomal RNA, 438 nt
Filed under: uncultured bacterium
Lineage: Bacteria
Description: partial 16S ribosomal RNA
Rfam family: Bacterial small subunit ribosomal RNA
Source: RNAcentral